Xiphophorus couchianus (Monterrey platyfish) is the source of this 2174-nucleotide long non-coding RNA. RefSeq lists it as uncharacterized. NCBI's taxonomy places the organism in Eukaryota, Metazoa, Chordata, Actinopteri, Cyprinodontiformes, Poeciliidae. The transcript is spliced from 2 exons. The record is from RefSeq and is a predicted model, not a curated record.
CACACACAACGAUACGCACAAACCGUCCAGCUUACGCAAUGACAAUACAUCCAAAGGUUUAUAUACAACCUCUAGGGACUGGAUUUCCCUAGAGCAGAUCAUCUGAUUGAAGUGUUCUUGCCUGCAGACACCGGGGAGAGCUGUUGCUGCCUCAACACAAAGACACAGUGGGAUACAGUUGCCCCGCAGCAGCUCCUGAGGGCAAGUUCCAGAGGAGUUUUGUGGCCUCAACUGUAAAGCACUGAAGGGAACAAGAAUGUUUUUUCGCAUCCCUCGCCUGACCCCUGGAUACAUCAGAUAUCUGCAGACCCAGGCAGCCCAGACGGUGCUGCAGAACAGGGAGAUCACUGCCACGCCAUACCUGGCUCUCCUGAUGGGUCUGAUUGGUGUGGGUUUGUCUGGCUACAGCUCCCGCCAGCUCACACUCCACUGCAAGCCAUCCACUCAUCUCUUCAGAUGACAGAGAUGGAGGAGACACCAAGUUUUCUAUAUGUAUAUAUAUGUAUAUAUAUCUGGGUCAUUUAGAAAGUGUUUUCCUUGUGACAGUUUUCUGGAUUUUGACAGAACCAGACAAAAUCUUUAGAGAUACUGAUGACAGAAGUAUUCUACCAUUUGGCAGCUUUUAUUCCAAUAUUCAGUCUUUGAGUCUUUUUAUGAAAUUAAACAUAAUUAUUUCCCAAAAUAUCAACAACUGCAAACUUGCUCAUCGUAUGUUUAUGUUGCUGUUUGCAGUUUUUCAUUAUCCGAAUCAGGUUCAACAUUCACCAAAGUUCUAACUAUUUAGUAUUAUUAUUUUUGUUGUGUUUGGACUGACAAGCGUGUUGCCUUACAGUUUUGUUUAAAUGGGUCCCAAUAAGAGGUACCUUUAUUUUUUCUGCACAGCAGAGUAUUUUUUGUUGAAUGUUAAAGAUGCACAGACAAAAGGAAAGGCAGCUAAUGAUGUUUCUUUGGAACUUGGUUCAUGUUGUACUUGGAUCACGGUCCUCAGCUCUCCCACUUUCCCAUGCCUUAUCAUGGAAUUAUUCAGUUAGAAGUCGCAAAUUUGCAAAAAAAAAGGAAAACAUUAGAGCUACAGUGUGUGAUAAGUAUCACUAUAUGUGAUGCUCACCUCAAUAUGUGAUGAAGCAAAUACAUUCUGUCAGAGAAUCACCAUGCUGUGAAGACUCAUAACAAAAUCUCAGAAGAGAAAAAUAUCUAUUCAGGUCAAAAUUUAGGAAGUUAACAAUUGUGUACUCUUACAUUUAUCUGUGAAUAUUACCUGUAAAUGUAGCCAUGAAUGUGUUUCUUGGACACUAAAUGAGAUUAGUAGUGCAGGACAUUGAGUCCUUUCUGCUUAUUUUGUGAGGUGGACCGGGAGACAUCCAGCUGGGCUCAUUUGUUGUUGCCGAGCAGAGAAACCAGGACAGCCAUCCUAGAUGCCACCUUGGGUCAACAGGUGAAUCCACAUGGAUCUCUCUUGGUUGCACUCCGAAUAUUAUAAUCUGAAUGUAGAUGAAUGACCGUUGGAGGUCUCUUAACAAAAAAUGUACCUUACUGUGGCUGUGUACUUGUUGUGCUUGAUGCAUUUUUAAUGGAGAAAAUGAACUUUGACAGCACAAUGAAUGUAAAUAGGAGCAGUUAGACUGUAAUUGUAAGGAUAAUCAUAUUGAAACCUCUUUGCAAAAGCAAAGUGAAGGCUAUGACAAUAGCAUGACUGUAAAAGGACAUGUAGCAUAUUAACAGGUUAUGAUAUAAGUAAGGUGAUCCCUAAAGAUCUUCUUUAGAUAAAAACAGAUAAGACCAGCUUACAACUGAGACAUGAGAAAAAAAGUGUAAGGAAGUUAUAUAUUUAUAGGGACACUGUGUGAUUUAAAAAAAAAAAAAGUUGUAUUCGAUGAUGCAGUAACGUAUUUGAUGCAGCAUUGUGGUAUGAAGGCAUACAAUGCCUUUGCUACAUAUAUUAAAAACAAAACUGUUGCACUAAGAGAUUUAAAUGACAGUGUUUGUUUCCUACAGCCAAUAUAAGAUUUAGUGCAAGUUUACUGAAAUCUGUGCAGUAAAUAAAGUACAUUUAAAAAAAUGUAAUUUUUCAGAAUGGCCUGUCGGUUUGCCCUUAUGGACCCGAUGCACAACAAAGCACCUUAAUAAACAUUGUGCACAAUUGUUUAUGUUUCAAUAAAUCAUUAAAAACCUCA